Pomacea canaliculata is the source of this 269-nucleotide long non-coding RNA. RefSeq lists it as uncharacterized. NCBI's taxonomy places the organism in Eukaryota, Metazoa, Mollusca, Gastropoda, Architaenioglossa, Ampullariidae. The record is from RefSeq and is a predicted model, not a curated record. The transcript has 3 exons.
CAGUGUCAGGGCUCAGAGACCAGCCUGACACAAUGUCAACACGAUGGAUUCUACAAACACGACUGCUAUCACUACGAGGACCUGGCGAUCAUUUGCAGCAGGCAACCAGAAAGUUUGCAUUUGGCGACACGUGACAGGGGUCGUGUGCAAAUACUGUUAGAGGGUGAGUGGUACACCGUGUGCAUCCCUGACGUCCACAUCGCUAGAGUCCUGUGCAGACAACUCGGUCAACCAUCGACCAUAUGUGGGCACAAAGCUAAUGUCCGGCC